GGAGUUACAAAGGACGACAUUAGACGAAUCAUCUGGAAAGAUGAAUCAAAGAAGGUAAUAAUCCUGUAGUCGAAAAUGUUGUCUCUCUUGAGUGGAUCCUGAGUACGACGGAGCACGUGAAAUUCCGUCGGAAUCUGGGAGGACCAUCUCCUAAGGCUAAAUACUCUCUAGUGACCGAUAGUGAACCAGUACCGUGAGGGAAAGGUGAAAAGCACCCCGGAAGGGGAGUGAAAUAGAACCUGAAACCGUGUGCUUACAAGUAGUCAGAGCCCGUUAAUGGGUGAUGGCGUGCCUUUUGUAGAAUGAACCGGCGAGUUACGAUUUGAUGCAAGGUUAAGCAGUAAAUGUGGAGCCGUAGCGAAAGCGAGUCUGAAUAGGGCGUUUAGUAUUUGGUCGUAGACCCGAAACCAGGUGAUCUACCCUUGGUCAGGUUGAAGUUCAGGUAACACUGAAUGGAGGACCGAACCGACUUACGUUGAAAAGUGAGCGGAUGAACUGAGGGUAGCGGAGAAAUUCCAAUCGAACCUGGAGAUAGCUGGUUCUCUCCGAAAUAGCUUUAGGGCUAGCCUCAAGUGAUGAUUAUUGGAGGUAGAGCACUGUUUGGACGAGGGGCCCCUCUCGGGUUACCGAAUUCAGACAAACUCCGAAUGCCAAUUAAUUUAACUUGGGAGUCAGAACAUGGGUGAUAAGGUCCGUGUUCGAAAGGGAAACAGCCCAGACCACCAGCUAAGGUCCCAAAAUAUAUGUUAAGUGGAAAAGGAUGUGGCGUUGCCCAGACAACUAGGAUGUUGGCUUAGAAGCAGCCAUCAUUUAAAGAGUGCGUAAUAGCUCACUAGUCGAGUGACACUGCGCCGAAAAUGUACCGGGGCUAAACAUAUUACCGAAGCUGUGGAUUGUCCUUUGGACAAUGGUAGGAGAGCGUUCUAAGGGCGUUGAAGCAUGAUCGUAAGGACAUGUGGAGCGCUUAGAAGUGAGAAUGCCGGUGUGAGUAGCGAAAGACGGGUGAGAAUCCCGUCCACCGAUUGACUAAGGUUUCCAGAGGAAGGCUCGUCCGCUCUGGGUUAGUCGGGUCCUAAGCUGAGGCCGACAGGCGUAGGCGAUGGAUAACAGGUUGAUAUUCCUGUACCACCUAUAAUCGUUUUA
Molecule: ribosomal RNA, 1143 nt
Filed under: Staphylococcus aureus
Lineage: Bacteria; Bacillati; Bacillota; Bacilli; Caryophanales; Staphylococcaceae
Description: partial 23S ribosomal RNA
Rfam family: Bacterial large subunit ribosomal RNA
Source: RNAcentral